UAUACCGUGAAACUGCGAAUGGCUCAUUAAAUCAGUUAUCGUUUAUUUGAUAGUACCUUACUACUUGGAUAACCGUGGUAAUUCUAGAGCUAAUACAUGCUUAAAACCCCGACUUCGGAAGGGGUGUAUUUAUUAGAUAAAAAACCAACGCCCUUCGGGGCUUCUUGGUGAUUCAUGAUAACUUUUCGGAUCGCAUAGCCUUGCGCUGGCGACGGUUCAUUCAAAUUUCUGCCCUAUCAACUUUCGAUGGUAAGGUAUUGGCUUACCAUGGUUUCAACGGGUAACGGGGAAUUAGGGUUCGAUUCCGGAGAGGGAGCCUGAGAAACGGCUACCACAUCCAAGGAAGGCAGCAGGCGCGCAAAUUACCCAAUCCCGAUUCGGGGAGGUAGUGACAAUAAAUACUGAUACAGGGCUCUUUUGGGUCUUGUAAUUGGAAUGAGUACAAUUUAAACCUCUUAACGAGGAACAAUUGGAGGGCAAGUCUGGUGCCAGCAGCCGCGGUAAUUCCAGCUCCAAUAGCGUAUAUUAAAGUUGUUGCAGUUAAAAAGCUCGUAGUUGAAACUUGGGUCUGGCUGGCAGGUCCGCCUCACCGCGUGUACUUGUCCGGCCGGACCUUCCUUCUGGAGAACCUCAUGCCCUUCACUGGGCGUGUUGGGGACCAGGACUUUUACUUUGAAAAAAUUAGAGUGUUCAAAGCAGGCCUUUGCUCGAAUACGUUAGCAUGGAAUAAUAGAAUAGGACGUGCGGUUCUAUUUUGUUGGUUUCUAGGACCGCCGUAAUGAUUAAUAGGGACAGUCGGGGGCAUCAGUAUUCAAUUGUCAGAGGUGAAAUUCUUGGAUUUAUUGAAGACUAACUACUGCGAAAGCAUUUGCCAAGGAUGUUUUCAUUAAUCAGUGAACGAAAGUUAGGGGAUCGAAGACGAUCAGAUACCGUCGUAGUCUUAACCGUAAACUAUGCCGACUAGGGAUCGGGCGAUGUUCUUUUUUUUGACUCGCUCGGCACCUUACGAGAAAUCAAAGUU
Molecule: ribosomal RNA, 1021 nt
Filed under: Neopyrenochaeta acicola
Lineage: Eukaryota; Fungi; Ascomycota; Dothideomycetes; Pleosporales; Neopyrenochaetaceae
Description: SSU rRNA
Rfam family: Eukaryotic small subunit ribosomal RNA
Source: RNAcentral